GUCAGGAUGAACGCUAGCGACAGGCCUAACACAUGCAAGUCGAGGGGCAGCACAAGGAGCAAUCUGAGGUGGCGACCGGCGCACGGGUGAGUAACACGUAUGCAACCUGCCUGUAAGCGGGGAAUAACCCGUUGAAAGAACGGACUAAUACCGCAUAAUACUAAAUUACUGCAAUGGUAAUUUAUUUUAAACAUUUAUGGCUUACAGAUGGGCAUGCGCAUGAUUAGCUAGUUGGAGAGGUAACGGCUCCCCAAGGCAACGAUCAUUAGGGGUUCUGAGAGGAAGGUCCCCCACACUGGUACUGAGACACGGACCAGACUCCUACGGGAGGCAGCAGUGAGGAAUAUUGGUCAAUGGACGAGAGUCUGAACCAGCCAAGUCGCGUGCAGGAAGAAAUGUCCUAUGGAUUGUAAACUGCUUUUGCAGGGGAAUAAAGUGCAUCACGUGUGAUGUUUUGUAUGUACUCUGCGAAUAAGGAUCGGCUAACUCCGUGCCAGCCGCGGC
This 504-nucleotide ribosomal RNA is filed under the name uncultured bacterium. RNAcentral describes it as "bacterial SSU rRNA". It matches the Rfam family "Bacterial small subunit ribosomal RNA", at positions 23 to 518 of the family's 1533-position model. The record is from RNAcentral.